GCCUUUGUAGAUCAGCGGUAGAUCGCCUGAAAACUGUGAACAUAUUUGGCCAUUCUUUCGGGACAAGUGGGUUCAAAUCCCAGCGGCGGCA
Molecule: non-coding RNA, 91 nt
Organism: Mycena epipterygia
Lineage: Eukaryota; Fungi; Basidiomycota; Agaricomycetes; Agaricales; Mycenaceae
Source: the annotation of a GenBank genome assembly